GACACCGAAGGUAGUGAGUUAUCUCAAUUGAUUGUUCACAGUUAGUGACAGAUCAAACUCCUUGUUCUACUCUUUCACCCCUUUCUCACUACUGCACUAGACUAGUCUUUA
Callithrix jacchus (white-tufted-ear marmoset) is the source of this 111-nucleotide Y RNA. It matches the Rfam family "Y RNA". From Rfam's summary of the family: Y RNAs are components of the Ro ribonucleoprotein particle (Ro RNP), in association with Ro60 and La proteins. The record is from Ensembl. NCBI's taxonomy places the organism in Eukaryota, Metazoa, Chordata, Mammalia, Primates, Cebidae.